This 348-nucleotide ribosomal RNA is filed under the name uncultured bacterium. Its description in RNAcentral is "bacterial SSU rRNA". It matches the Rfam family "Bacterial small subunit ribosomal RNA", at positions 28 to 337 of the family's 1533-position model. The record is from RNAcentral.
GAUGAACGCUGGCGGCGUGCCUAAUACAUGCAAGUCGAACGCAUUGUGGUUGAAAUGAUAUGAAGAACUUGUUCAGAUUUGAUUUUCAACAUUGCAAUGAGUGGCGAACGGGUGAGUAACACGUGGGAAACCUACCUCUUAGCAGGGAUAACAUUUGGAAACAAAUGCUAAUACCGUAAUAAUAAUUAAAACCGCAUGGUUUUAGUUUAAAAGAUGGUCUUGCUAUCACUAAGAGAUGGUCCCGACGGUGUAUUAGUUAGUUGGUGAGGUAAUGGCUCACCAAGACAAUGAUACAUAGCCGAGUUGAGAGACUGACCGGCACAAUGGGACUGAGACACGGCCCAUACU